Molecule: long non-coding RNA, 530 nt
Filed under: Heterocephalus glaber (naked mole-rat)
Lineage: Eukaryota; Metazoa; Chordata; Mammalia; Rodentia; Bathyergidae
Description: lncRNA (ENSHGLG00100052273.1)
Source: RNAcentral
AGAAUAAUAAACCAAGCUCAUGCAAUAGACAAUCUGCUUCUAUAAUGUGCUAACAUUUCUGUGUUGUGGCACGCAGUAUAUAUUCUAAUCUCAUUACUUAUGUGGAUUUCUUCCAUAGACCUCUCUUACUGUAUUCCCCAAUGUUUAUUGUAAUUUUCUGAAGAAAAAGUCCAUCUGCUACUUCAUUGAAUCAACAGACAUUAAUAGAGUCCUUAUUAAGUGCCAAGCAAGUGCUGUGCCAGACUCUGAAGUUGCAAAGAUUUGAGUGUUUCUGCUAUUUCCUCCAUUACCAUCACUAAAGAAAAUGCUGCUGCUGCCUCUCAUAAAAAUGAGGAUAACGCUGGAUAACAUUUAUUGAGUGCUUACCUCCUCCCAGGCUUCUUCCUUCUCUUUCUAUUGCCGGGACACCAAGACAUGAGCAGCUGUUUGCAACCAGUAACGUCCACCAUGCCCUUCUUUCCUUGGAGCCAGUCAACUAUGAACCAUAUCCUCUAAAAACUGUGAGGCAAAAUUAACCUCUGCUUCAAUUG